Molecule: long non-coding RNA, 1855 nt
Filed under: Sus scrofa (pig)
Lineage: Eukaryota; Metazoa; Chordata; Mammalia; Artiodactyla; Suidae
Description: lncRNA (ENSSSCG00000053674.1)
Source: RNAcentral
CUCGAUAUGUGAAUUAACUUUAUCAUGGGUGUUCUUGUUAAAGUCAAAGGUGAAUGGGGGAUUUUUUGGCAGGUUGGGGGUGCAAUUAGAAUCACUUUAAAGUCCUACUAAAUCCUAAUUUAAUAUCUUUGGAGCAAAAUAUUCUUAAAGAAUUUAUCAAAAUUUUAAUGUGGCAUAACAUUGAAUAUCUUUUUAUAUUCAAGUAUAAUCAAAGUGACCUUGUUCUAACUAUACAGGCAUAAUCUAGUCCCAUGAAGUCAUAGUACUAAGACUUUUCAGUGCCUGUGAUAUGAAAGAAUGGGUUAUGCUGUAGUACUCACAAAAAUAUAUAAUGCCAGAUAAAAUGUAACAAAAAUGUUUGUUAAAAAGUAUGCCUGGGCUUACAAAAGAAAAGGAAAUUCCCAUAUUUCAGAAGACAAUAAAUUUCUGAAAACUGUAGCUUUGACUCAUGAGCUAGCAUUUCUGCAGCUAUGCUGGGGAUUAUUGGAUCCACUUAGUCCUUGGGCUUCACGUCCACAAGGAACUGGGACAGAGGCUUGGAGACUCAGUGGAGAAUUGAAUACACUGCCCAAACAUCAUUCCAGAAUGAGGGAAAAUAAAAUCCUACAGUUCAUAAUAACCAUAGUUAGCAUCGACAAAAGUAUUGAAGGAUAUUCUUCAUAAAAAAUGUAGGAGUGGAAGGCAAUUAGUAAUGAUGACGGGGAAAAGGGCACUUAAUGGUGACAAAAGUCAAUAAUGAGUUCCCAUUGUGGCUCAGUGGAAACGAACCUGACUAGUAUCCAGGAGGAUGUGGGUUCAAUCCCUGGCCUCCCUCAGUGGCUAAGAAUCCAGCUUUGCUGUGAGCUGUGGUGUAGGUCACAGACACAGCUUGGAUGCAAGUUCAAUCCCUGGCCUUGCUUAGUGGGUUAAGGAUCUGGCAUUGCCAUGAGCUGUGAUAUAGGUUGCAGAUGUAGCUCUGAUCUUGCAUUGCUGUGGAAUAGGCUGGCAGCUACAGCUCUGAUUAGACCCCUGGCCUGGGAACUUCCAUAUGCCACAGGUGUGUCCCUAAAAAGACAAAAAGACCAAAAACAAACAAACAAACACUUGAUGAUGAGGUGAGCAAAAGCCUCUGAUCCCCAAAUUACCCUGAAUGCCCCUUACUGGCAAAAAUAGAUAAAAUUUGCCCUCACAGAGCUUACAUGGCAUAGAAAAUAGAAAGAAAAUGAAUUAUAUGCAUAAAAAAUAAGUACAUAAUAUUGUUAUAAGGCUAUAAGAGUUAUAACAUUAGGCCAGGGUCAGGUACACUGAGAGUGGUAAGAGUAAGGCUUGAAAUUCCAAGUGAGGUUUUCAAGACAUUACUCUAGGUGAAGUUAGCAUUGAGGAAAAUCUUAAAGUCACUGAAGGAGUUAAACAUUGCAUGUCUGGGGGAAAAAAAAUUGUUCCAUGAAGGAGAAAAAUAAGUAAAAAUGCACUAAGGUUAGAGUGUAUCUAGCUUGGUCAAGGAAGAGCAGAGAGGCCAAAGAGCCUGGGCAAAGUUAGCAAAAGAGAGAAAAAAGACAUAUAAGAUCAGAGAGUUAAUGGAAUCAGGCAAGUGGGGCCAGACCUUGGUCAUGAUUUUGGUUUUGAUUUAGCAUAGAAAAGAGAACUCUCUGGAGGGUUCUAAGAAGGAAAAGUGACUUAUCUUGUACUUUAAAGGGAUCAGUCCAGCUUCUGUGUAAUAAUAGAUAAGGCAUGUUUGAGGAAGAGGGUGGUCUGGGAGAGUUCAAGUUAGGAUUUUAUCACAGGAAACCUGGUGAGACAUGAUGAUAGCUUAGGUCUGCUGAUAAAAGAUGGUAAGGAUGAUAAAAAGACAGACAAAUAAUUUGUCCUUCUUGUA